RNAcentral lists this long non-coding RNA (352 nucleotides) under Medicago truncatula (barrel medic). Its description in RNAcentral is "lncRNA gene18094". The record is from RNAcentral. Lineage: Eukaryota; Viridiplantae; Streptophyta; Magnoliopsida; Fabales; Fabaceae.
UGGAGGGGGAGAUGUGCGUGGGAAGGAUGGUGGCGAAAGAGUGGAUUCAGAUUUCAGGUCGUUGGUAGUGGUGGUGGUAACGGAAGACAAUGAAUUGAGGUCGGAGGAAAAAGUGUGGAGGUGACGAGUUAUUGUUGCUACAGUGUUGCCGAAGGAGGGAGGGAGGGGAAGCGGUUCACAAUUCAAUUUUUUUUUUUUUAAUGCCAUGCUGGUGUGCAGGUUUUAUUAGUUAUGCUCAAAAUUGAUGUGUUGUAUCCGUGAGACAGACUGUGAUCAAGGAAGACUUUCUCCUUGCAGCCUUGUGAAUCGAUUCACGUCUAUUUUUUUUUAUAUUUUUUUUUUUAAAGAUUGA